RNAcentral lists this long non-coding RNA (231 nucleotides) under Mytilus galloprovincialis (Mediterranean mussel). The record is from RNAcentral. Lineage: Eukaryota; Metazoa; Mollusca; Bivalvia; Mytilida; Mytilidae.
AUACAAUGUAUAUAUCAUGUUUGAUUGAGAUGCAAUGCAUUCAAAGUGGUUUAGCUUUGUUUCAAUAUACCACACCGGGUAUCCCGAUCCGUAACUCGUGGAGGUAUCGGAAAUACUAAGGAAAAAUUACACUCUGUUAAAUUCGUAAUUGUGGUUUCGUGUAAUAAUGUAGUUCUGGUUUUUUUUGCAUCUCUGUGUAUGUUUUGUCACAUAUGUAUUUAUUGGCAAAAU